AACCAUGCCAGUCGUGCGUUCUCCUCUUUUCGGAGAGGAGGAAGCGGCGGACGGGUGAGGAACACGUGGAUACCUACCCCUCAGUGAGGAAUACCGGCGAGAAAUCGCCGACAAUACCGCAUAGGGUCCCUCUUGCGGGGGAGCAAAGCCGCAAGGCGCUGGGGGAGGGGUCUGCGUCCGAUUAGCUAGCUGGUGGGGUAAUGGUCUCACCAGGGCGACGAUCGGUAGCUGGUCUGAGAGGAUGAUCAGCCACACUGGGAUUGAGAACGGCCCAGACUCCUACGGGGGGCAGCAGUGAGGAAUCUUCGGCAAUGGGGGCAACCCUGACCGAGCAACGCCGCGUGCAGGAAGAAGGUUUUCGGAUCGUAAACUGCUUUUCUGUGGGACGAGCAAGGACGGUACCACAGGAAGAAGCCCCGGCUAACUACGUG
Molecule: ribosomal RNA, 431 nt
Filed under: uncultured bacterium
Lineage: Bacteria
Description: bacterial SSU rRNA
Rfam family: Bacterial small subunit ribosomal RNA
Source: RNAcentral